AAAAGAAACUAACCAGGAUUCCCUCAGUAGCGGCGAGCGAAGAGGGAAGAGCUCAGUACCCAAUCCCGGUCCGACGGGCGGACCUGGGAACUUUGGUGUAUGGAAGACCGCCCGCCCGGUGUCGCUCGGGGGCCUGAGUCCUUCUGAUCGAGGCUCAGCCCGUGGACGGUGUGAGGCCGGUAACGGCCCCCGUCGCGCUGGGGUCCGGUCUUCUCGGAGUCGGGUUGUUUGGGAAUGCAGCCCUAAGCGGGUGGUAAACUCCAUCUAAGGCUAAAUACCGGCACGAGACCGAUAGUCAACAAGUACCU
RNAcentral lists this ribosomal RNA (308 nucleotides) under Lateolabrax japonicus (Japanese seabass). RNAcentral's name for it is "eukaryotic LSU rRNA". It matches the Rfam family "Eukaryotic large subunit ribosomal RNA", at positions 57 to 353 of the family's 3401-position model. The record is from RNAcentral. Lineage: Eukaryota; Metazoa; Chordata; Actinopteri; Acropomatiformes; Lateolabracidae.